GUUCAUCGAAAUUGGAUACAGACAGAAAGAAUUUCGUUGGAGAAGGUGAUUUGGAGCAUUUAUCCAAACUUGUCGAAGAGAAAGAUGGAGGUCCUUCUUGGAUUGUUAUGAUGGAAAAAUCGACCUCAAAUAUGUCCUAUCAAGCUUGGAAGAGAGAGCCUGAGGUAAUUCCAAUUUCCAAUUCAUUAACUAUGAAAAAUCUAUCGAACACUUUCAUCUUUUGUUCUUAUUAAAGUUCUAUCCAACUAUAGUAUUGGAUAACAUUUAUGAAGCAUCAAGUAUGAUACUUUCAUAAAUAAAUCAAUAAAAGUACAUUGCAAUUUCUUGAAUUGUCAUACAACAUUGAGAGUUUUACUUUACAAAUUACAAUAUAUCUAUUUAUAUCGAGUUAGUGACUAAAACUAUUAUUUUCUAUUACUUUAUAGAUUGGACCUCCACAAUAUCGUUCAAGAAGUGUGUAUGAAGAUACUACUCCUGAAUUAAUGAGGGAUUUCUUUUGGGAUGAUGAAUUCCGAUUAAAGUGGGAUGACAUGUUAAUUGAAGCCGAAACAUUGGAAGAGUGUCAAGAAAAUGGAACAAUGG
Molecule: long non-coding RNA, 582 nt
Filed under: Lactuca sativa (garden lettuce)
Lineage: Eukaryota; Viridiplantae; Streptophyta; Magnoliopsida; Asterales; Asteraceae
Description: long non-coding RNA (LSAT_LNC006722)
Source: RNAcentral